AUAUCUCUCUGUACGGGAAGGAUGAGAAGCUUCGACUAAGGUUCGAUUCGAGCGAAAGCGAGAAAGAGUUGCCGCAGGCAACGACCCGAAGGGCGAAGCGCGCAGCGCUGAGUCAUCCUUCCCCCACCACCA
Molecule: small RNA, 132 nt
Filed under: Salmonella enterica subsp. enterica serovar Hato
Lineage: Bacteria; Pseudomonadati; Pseudomonadota; Gammaproteobacteria; Enterobacterales; Enterobacteriaceae
Description: RtT sRNA
Rfam family: RtT RNA
About the family: This family represents a bacterial cis-regulatory element known as RtT RNA. The exact function of RtT is unknown although it is thought that it may be involved in changing the cellular response in relation to amino acid starvation.
Source: RNAcentral